Molecule: transfer RNA, 73 nt
Filed under: Elusimicrobia bacterium RIFCSPLOWO2_01_FULL_54_10
Lineage: Bacteria; Pseudomonadati; Elusimicrobiota
Description: tRNA-Arg
Rfam family: tRNA
About the family: Transfer RNA (tRNA) molecules are approximately 80 nucleotides in length. Their secondary structure includes four short double-helical elements and three loops (D, anti-codon, and T loops).
Source: RNAcentral
GCGCCCUUAGCUCAGGGGAUAGAGCAUCUGUCUACGAAACAGAGGGCCGCAGGUUCAAAUCCUGCAGGGCGCA